GACACGGUCCAGACUCCUACGGGAGGCAGCAGUGGGGAAUAUUGGACAAUGGGCGAAAGCCUGAUCCAGCCAUGCCGCGUGUGUGAAGAAGGUCUUCGGAUUGUA
RNAcentral lists this ribosomal RNA (105 nucleotides) under uncultured bacterium. RNAcentral's name for it is "partial 16S ribosomal RNA". It matches the Rfam family "Bacterial small subunit ribosomal RNA", at positions 323 to 427 of the family's 1533-position model. The record is from RNAcentral.